CCUUGCGGUUUUUUUUCCAAGAAACUAUCACACACUGAAAGGAGAUAUGACAUUGGUGAUAGAGAACUUUUAGCUAUCAUUAUGGCAUUAAAGGAAUGGAGACAUCUGUUAGAGGGCACUGUCCUCCCAGUUACUAUCUUGACUGAUCACAAAAAUUUAUCUUAUAUGGGGGAGGCCAAAAGAUUAUCUGCCAGGCAGGCACGUUGGUCUAUGUUCCUUACACACUUUAAUUAUGUGCUUACUUACAGGCCUGGUUCUAAGAACACUAAGGCAGACGCUUUGUCUCGUCAGCACGAACCUAUCGCCUCUACAGAAGACACUUUGUUCCCUAUUAUUCCUGAAGUCAAUAUUAUCGCCAACACCAAUGUCAAAAUACACUCUCCAUUGCUCGUAGAUAUUAUGAACGAACAAUCUCUUGCUCCCGAGCGUACUCCUGUGGGCCGCUUGUUCGUGUCUCCAAAAUUCCAAGUAGACAUUAUUCGCUGUUUUCACGAUAGCAAGUUCGCUGGUCACCCCGGCAUCC
Molecule: non-coding RNA, 523 nt
Organism: Pelobates cultripes (western spadefoot toad)
Lineage: Eukaryota; Metazoa; Chordata; Amphibia; Anura; Pelobatidae
Source: the annotation of a GenBank genome assembly